ACGCUCGACACCUACGGGGGCAGCAGUAGGGAAUCUUCCACAAUGGACGCAAGUCUGAUGGAGCAACGCCGCGUGAGUGAAGAAGGUUUUCGGAUCGUAAAGCUCUGUUGUUGGUGAAGAAGGAUAGAGGUAGUAACUGGCCUUUAUUUGACGGUAAUCAACCAGAAAGUCACGGCUAACUACGUGCCANNACCNCGGUAAUCUGAGCGGGCUGGCAAGGC
This 221-nucleotide ribosomal RNA is filed under the name uncultured bacterium. Its description in RNAcentral is "partial 16S ribosomal RNA". It matches the Rfam family "Bacterial small subunit ribosomal RNA", at positions 328 to 539 of the family's 1533-position model. The record is from RNAcentral.